ACAAGUACCGUGAGGGAAAGAUGAAAAGAACCUUGAAAAGGGGGUUAAAAGUACGUGAAAUUGUUAUUAGGAAAGCACUUAGUCUCAUUGUGGAUUANAUCAGUCUGUUUCGGCAGAUACUGUCCUAAUUAGUUAUGAUCAGUUAGCGUUGAUAAAGAAAAUUUGUGAUAAGGUAUUAGUGUAGUGCUAAACUUAAAGAUCACUUAUUAUUUGUCGAUACUGACUGAGGAAUGCUACUUAAUCUUUUUGAGUANAUANUUUGUGGAGUUAGGUUAAACAACAUGUUGAUUAGCUUAAUUAAAGCGAUCUAUUUGCUUUAAAACUUAAGUACAGGAUCAUAAUUAAAUGAUACUAAAU
This 357-nucleotide ribosomal RNA is filed under the name Carebara reina. Its description in RNAcentral is "partial 28S ribosomal RNA". It matches the Rfam family "Eukaryotic large subunit ribosomal RNA", at positions 344 to 645 of the family's 3401-position model. The record is from RNAcentral. Lineage: Eukaryota; Metazoa; Arthropoda; Insecta; Hymenoptera; Formicidae.